AUCGGUGAGGGCCAUAUACCGCUUCCUGUUUCUCUGAGGGGUUUUUUCUGUUGGCCUCUUCGGUGAAACUGGUUCUCUAACGUCUUAGUUUAUCUUGCUGACACCUGCCUCAGUUUUCCUUUUAAACACGGACACUGCUCGACCCGCAACACCAAAGAUGGCGCCAGCCUAAGAGCAGUUAUUUUAUUUAGUUGUGUGAACGGAACGGGGAUGUUGCCUGCCUCAGGUCAGCAUCUUAACAGUUUACUAUCCAGAGGUCCAUCCCAGAUUUUCAAAUGAAAAUGGAGGAAAAGCCCCUCUCAGGCCCAGACAACACCAGGCUGGAGACUCUGGUACAGGACAUCUACUCUGAGCUGGUGGAAGAUGCCUGUUUGGGCCUGUGUUUCGAGGUGCAUCGUGCUGUGAAGCAGGGCUAUUUCUUCUUGGAUGAAACGGACCAAGAUAGCAUAAAGGAGUUUGAGAUUGUGGAUCAGCCAGGAGUGGACAUAUUUGGUCAGGUGUUUAAUCAGUGGAAGAAUAAAGAGUGUGAGUGUCCCAACUGCAAAAGGUUAAUAGCAGCUUCCCGCUUUGCUCCGCACCUGGAAAAAUGUCUAGGAAUGGGACGCAACAGCAGUCGCAUCGCCAACCUCAGGCUUGCUAGCAAUAACAACAUCAGCAAAUCUGAGAGCGAUCAGGAAGACAAUGAUGACCUUAACGACAAUGACUGGUCAUAUGGAGCUGAAAAGAAAUCUAAGAAGAGAAGAUCAGAUAAGAAUCAGAACUCCCCAAGAAGAUCCAAAUCUCUGAAACACAAGAACGGUGAGCUUGGGACCAGCAUCAGUUCAGAUCCCUACAAGCAGUACAACUACAACGCUGGCGUCAGUUAUGAAAGCUUGGGCCCAAAUGAAGUCAGAUUGCUGUUGACAACCCAAUGUGGGGUGAUCUCUGAGCACACCAAGAAGAUGUGCACAAGGUCUCACCGAUGUCCACAGCACACAGAUGAUCAGAGGAGGGCAAUCAGGCUGUACCUCCUGGGGCCGUCCGCGUGAGUGUGCCCCGCCCCCUUCCUCACUCAAAUCAAAGUGUGCUCAGAAGGAAACAUGUUGGAGUUUUAGUCCUUAAGUCCCUCAUAAGUCGGGGGGGUUAAAGAUGCAACCUGAUGACUAUCUUAGAAGCUCUUUUCUUGGUUUUGAGUUGAAAUGAGACAUUGACCAUUAGAAUAUUUGCAUCUAUCUACAAGUAUAUAUAUAUAUAUAUAUAUAUUUGCCAUUAAAGGGUUGACUGUUUAGUUUUAGGAAGCUGGUCAAGUCAUUAUUUGAUUGAACAUUUGAAUGAAUGCAAACCAUUUCCUCUGUAUUGAAGUUUUCAGACCUGAGUAAAUAGAAAAAAGCUGUGUGCAAAUGAUGGUUUUAAGUAUUUAAGGGAAAGCUUUAUAAACCAAGCUAAUCUUAAGGGUAAAAUAUUCUCUCCAACUCAACCUAAUAACUGGCUCUGCCACUUUAGGAGGCAAUGAUAGCUAUCUAGACUAAAAAGAGUGGGAGAGGUCACAAACCAGUCUGAUUCUGGCUGAUUCAGCCUACAACCAAAAAUGGGAAAAUCCAACACAGGAGUGGGAGUGAGGCUACGAGUGACACCAACAGCCAGAUGCUUGUCUGGACCUCUUGUUCGCCUGGUGGGUGGAGCUUAUCCCAUUUAAACUCCUGCCAGCCAAUCAGCUACAGGGGAGAACAAACAAUUGGUCCGGCUUUGUUGAUAAAAGAGAGACAGGACAGGCCACAGUGUGUUUAGAUAAAGCUCCUCCUACUUGGGAUUUACUCAUUCUACAGUUAGAGGAUCUGGGAAACAAUAAUGACACUCAAUCAAUUCAAUGCAAUUGUUUUUAACAAGAUUGGCAGUCUAUUUUCUACCAUGACCAGGUUGACUUGGGCUGGUUUAUUACCUUUUAGUAAAUGAAACCAUAAUUUAAAUACACUAAACGAGCUUGUCUUUGAUAUUAAAAUCAAUAUAAUCAGAAUUGGACAAAUUUGAGCUAUACAGGAGGAAUGUACCAGAGCAUAAAUACUUUUAAAACACUGUAGGCUUUAGUUAAUUAUUUUAGUUGGUUUUUUGCCAACCUUUUCCUUUUUGAGCAAAUGUAACCAGAGCCAAACCUAAUUUAAUCCAUCUAACUUUAAAUAUAAUAUCAAAGGCGUAAAGUACACCUUUGAGCAUCCAAAAAAGUAUAGCCUAAUAAACGAUUUUAAUCCUAUUGUUUAAAAUGUUACAUAUUUUUUUCUAAAACUCCCGUUGAACAGUGUUAUGACUGAUUAUCAUUAAAAAUUUCAUCUAUAAUAUUCCUUAAGUUUCCAACGAUGUGGAAAAAGUUUUGUUUGGUUUAACGAUUAAACAUAGUUUUUCUUAAAUCAAUUCUAAAACAAACUGAAUAAAAGAACCAAAAUUCAGCGCU
Cyprinodon tularosa is the source of this 2425-nucleotide RNA transcript. It is a transcript of the gene named ataxin 7 like 3a, with no coding region annotated. The record is from RefSeq and is a predicted model, not a curated record. NCBI's taxonomy places the organism in Eukaryota, Metazoa, Chordata, Actinopteri, Cyprinodontiformes, Cyprinodontidae. The transcript is spliced from 12 exons.